UCGGGGGAAAGAUUUAUCGCCGAAAGAUCGGCCCCGCGUCUGAUUAGCUAGUUGGUGAGGUAAAGGCUCACCAAGGCGACGAUCAGUAGCUGGUCUGAGAGGAUGAUCAGCCACAUUGGGACUGAGACACGGCCCAAACUCCUACGGGAGGCAGCAGUGGGGAAUAUUGGACGAAUGGGCGCAAAGCCUGAUCCAGCCAUGCCGCGUGAGUGAUGAAGGCCUUAGGGUUGUAAAAGCUCUUUUGUCCGGGAAAGAUAAAUGACUGUACCGGAAAGAAAUAAAGCCCCGGCUAACUUCGUGCCAGCAGCCGCGGUAAUACGAAGGGGGCUAGCGUUGCUCGGAAUCACUGGGCGUAAAGGGCGCGUAGGCGGACUUUUAAGUCGGAGGUGAAAGCCCAGGGCUCAACCCUGGAAUUGCCUUCGAUACUGGGAGUCUUGAGCUCGGAAGAGGUUGGUGGAACUGCGAGUGUAGAGGUGAAAUUCGUAGAUAUUCGCAAGAACACCGGUGGCGAAGGCGGCCAACUGGUCCGAAACUGACGCUGAGGCGCGAAAGCGUGGGGAGCAAACUAGGAUUAGAUACCCUGGUAGUCCACGCCGUAAACGAU
This 604-nucleotide ribosomal RNA is filed under the name uncultured bacterium. Its description in RNAcentral is "bacterial SSU rRNA". It matches the Rfam family "Bacterial small subunit ribosomal RNA", at positions 196 to 810 of the family's 1533-position model. The record is from RNAcentral.